This 250-nucleotide ribosomal RNA is filed under the name uncultured bacterium. RNAcentral's name for it is "partial 16S ribosomal RNA". It matches the Rfam family "Bacterial small subunit ribosomal RNA", at positions 524 to 773 of the family's 1533-position model. The record is from RNAcentral.
UACGAAGGGUGCAAGCGUUAUUCGGAAUCACUGGGCGUAAAGAGCGCGUAGGCGGCUUAUUAAGUUGGUUGUUAAAUACCUUGGCUCAACCAAGGAACUGCAGUCAAAACUGAUUUGCUAGAGGAUAAGAGAGAGAAGUGGAAUUCUCGGAGUAGCGGUAAAAUGCGUAGAUCUCGAGAGGAACACCGGUUGCGAAGGCGGCUUCUUGGCUUAUUCCUGACGCUGAGGUGCGAAAGCGUGGGGAGCAAAC